UCAAGUUAUUAAGGGUGCAGGGCGGAUGCCUUGGCACUAGGAGCCGAUGAAGGACGUGAUAAGCUGCGAUAAGCUUCGGGGAGUUGCACGUAAACUUUGAUCCGAAGAUUUCCGAAUGAGGAAACUCACUUAGAGUAAUGUCUAAGUAUCAUUAAGUGAAUACAUAGCUUAAUGAGGGGAACUCAGGGAACUGAAACAUCUAAGUACCUGAAGGAAGAGAAAGAAAUUCGAUUCCGUAAGUAGCGGCGAGCGAACGCGGAUUAGCCCAAACCAAUAAAGUUUUCUUUAUUGGGGUUGCGGACAUAUCAUAACGAAGAGGUAUCGUAAUUGAAGAGGUUUGGAAAGACCCACCACAGAAGGUAAUAGUCCUGUAUGUUAAACGAGAAGACUUCAGAUAUGAUCCAGAGUACCACGGGACACGUGAAACCCUGUGGGAAGCAGGAGGGACCACCCUCCAAGGCUAAAUACUACCUAGUGACCGAUAGCGUAUAGUACCGUGAGGGAAAGGUGAAAAGAACCCCGGGAGGGGAGUGAAAUAGAACCUGAAACCCUGCACUUACAAGCUGUGGAAGCACAUUUCUUGUGUGACCGCGUACUUUUUGUAGAACGGGCCAACGAGUUACGUUAAGUAGCAAGGUUAAGCACUUAAGGUGUGGAGCCGUAGCGAAAGCGAGUUUUAACUGAGCGUUCAGUUACUUGACGUAGACCCGAAACCGGGCGACCUACCCAUGAGCAGGAUGAAGCGAAAGUAAAAUUUCGUGGAGGUCCGAACCCACGAGCGUUGAAAAGCUCGGGGAUGACUUGUGGGUAGCGGUGAAAUUCCAAUCGAGCCCGGAGAUAGCUGGUUCUCCCCGAAAUAGCUUUAGGGCUAGCCUCAAGGUGAGAGAUACGGAGGUAGAGCACUGAAUGUCCUAGGGGGUAUUGCACCUACCGAAGACUAUCAAACUCCGAAUGCCGUCAUCUUAUACUUGGGAGUCAGACUGUGGGUGAUAAGAUUCAUAGUCGAAAGGGCAACAGCCCAGAUCGUCAGCUAAGGUCCCUAAAUGUAAGUUAAGUGGUAAAGGAUGUGGGAUUGCACAGACAACCAGGAUGUUGGCUUAGAAGCAGCCACUCAUUCAAAGAGUGCGUAAUAGCUCACUGGUCGAGUGAUCCUGCGCCGAAGAUUUCCGGGGCUAAAACUUACUACCGAAGCUACGGCAUCAGUAAUGAUGGGUAGGGGAGCUUCCCAUACGGGUUGAAGCAUGACCGUAAGGACAUGUGGACAGUAUGGGAGUGAGAAUGUUGGCAUGAGUAGCGAGAUGUGGGUGAGAAUCCCACAGGCCGUAAACCCAAGGUUUCCAGGGGAAGGUUCGUCCGCCCUGGGUUAGUCGGGACCUAAGCUGAGGCCGAAAGGCGUAGGUGAUGGACAACAGGUUGAUAUUCCUGUACUACCGAUAACCGUUUGAGAGAAGGGAUGACACAGUAGGAUAAGCUAAGCACACUGUUGGUUAUGUGUGCCCAAGCAUUGAGGCAGUCAAAGUAGGCAAAUCCGCUUUGAUAAUGCUGGGAUGUGAUGGGGAGCGAAAUUUAGUAGCGAAGUAGCUGAUUUCACACUGUCAAGAAAAGUCUCUAUCGAGGUUAAAGGUACCCGUACCGCAAACCGACACAGGUGGGUGAGGAGAGUAUCCUAAGGCCAGCGAGAGAACUGUUGUUAAGGAACUCGGCAAAAUGACCCCGUAACUUAGGGAUAAGGGGUGCCACCAUCAGGUGGCCGCAGAGAAUAGGCCCAAGCGACUGUUUACCAAAAACAUAGGUUUCUGCUAAGUCGCAAGACGAUGUAUAGGAGCUGACGCCUGCCCGGUGCUGGAAGGUUAAGGGGAUCUGUUAGAGCAAUCGAAGCAGUGAACUUAAGCCCCAGUAAACGGCGGCCGUAACUAUAACGGUCCUAAGGUAGCGAAAUUCCUUGUCGGGUAAGUUCCGACCCGCACGAAAGGCGUAACGAUUUGGGCACUGUCUCAACAACAGACUCGGUGAAAUUGUAAUUCCGGUGAAGAUGCCGGAUACCUGCGACAGGACGGAAAGACCCCAUGGAGCUUUACUGUAGCUUGACAUUGGGUUUUGGUACUACAUGUACAGGAUAGGUGGGAGGCUUUGAAACCAGGACGCCAGUUUUGGCGGAGCCAUCCUUGGGAUACCACCCUUGUAGUACUGGGACUCUAACCAUAGGCCAUGAAUCUGGUCUUGGGACACUGUCAGGUGGGCAGUUUGACUGGGGCGGUCGCCUCCCAAAAGGUAACGGAGGCGCUCAAAGGUUCUCUCAGUACGGUCGGAAAUCGUACGUAGAGUGUAAAGGCAAAAGAGAGCUUGAUUGCAAGACAUACAGGUCGAGCAAGGAUGAAAAUCGGACUUAGUGAUCCGGUGGUUCUGCGUGGAAGGGCCAUCGCUCAACGGAUAAAAGCUACCCUGGGGAUAACAGGCUUAUCUCCCCCAAGAGUCCACAUCGACGGGGAGGUUUGGCACCUCGAUGUCGGCUCAUCACAUCCUGGGGCUGUAGUAGGUCCCAAGGGUUGGGCUGUUCGCCCAUUAAAGUGGUACGCGAGCUGGGUUCAGAACGUCGUGAGACAGUUCGGUCCCUAUCCGUCGCAGGCGUAGGAAAUUUGAGAAGACCUGUCCUUAGUACGAGAGGACCGGGAUGGACGUACCUCUGGUGUACCAGUUGUUCUGCCAAGGGCAUGGCUGGGUAGCUAUGUACGGAAUGGAUAAGCGCUGAAAGCAUCUAAGCGCGAAGCCAACUUCAAGAUAAGAUUUCCCACCGCAAGGGUAAGAUCCCAGAAAGACUAUCUGGUUGAUAGGUCGAAGGUGUAAGUGCAGCAAUGUAUUUAGCUUAUCGAUACUAAUAGGUCGAGGACUUGACCAA
This 2896-nucleotide ribosomal RNA is filed under the name Clostridioides difficile. RNAcentral's name for it is "bacterial LSU rRNA". It matches the Rfam family "Bacterial large subunit ribosomal RNA". The record is from RNAcentral. RNAcentral also lists the same sequence under 1 other name. Lineage: Bacteria; Bacillati; Bacillota; Clostridia; Peptostreptococcales; Peptostreptococcaceae.